CCUACGGGAGGCAGCAGUGGGGAAUUUUGGACAAUGGGGGCAACCCUGAUCCAGCAAUGCCGCGUGAGUGAAGAAGGCCUUCGGGUUGUAAAGCUCUUUUGUCAGGGAAGAAACGGUGGGGGGAAUAACUUCUACUAAUGACGUACUGAGAUAGCCAUGC
This 160-nucleotide ribosomal RNA is filed under the name uncultured freshwater bacterium. RNAcentral's name for it is "partial 16S ribosomal RNA". It matches the Rfam family "Bacterial small subunit ribosomal RNA", at positions 338 to 496 of the family's 1533-position model. The record is from RNAcentral.